This 1147-nucleotide ribosomal RNA is filed under the name Microbacterium aerolatum. RNAcentral describes it as "bacterial SSU rRNA". It matches the Rfam family "Bacterial small subunit ribosomal RNA", at positions 143 to 1304 of the family's 1533-position model. Lineage: Bacteria; Bacillati; Actinomycetota; Actinomycetes; Micrococcales; Microbacteriaceae. The record is from RNAcentral.
AUAAGCGCUGGAAACGGCGUCUAAUACUGGAUACGAGUAGCGAUCGCAUGGUCAGCUACUGGAAAGAUUUUUUGGUUGGGGAUGGGCUCGCGGCCUAUCAGCUUGUUGGUGAGGUAAUGGCUCACCAAGGCGUCGACGGGUAGCCGGCCUGAGAGGGUGACCGGCCACACUGGGACUGAGACACGGCCCAGACUCCUACGGGAGGCAGCAGUGGGGAAUAUUGCACAAUGGGCGGAAGCCUGAUGCAGCAACGCCGCGUGAGGGAUGACGGCCUUCGGGUUGUAACCUCUUUAGCAGGGAAGAAGCGAAAGUGACGGUACCUGCAGAAAAAGCGCCGGCUAACUACGUGCCAGCAGCCGCGGUAAUACGUAGGGCGCAAGCGUUAUCCGGAAUUAUUGGGCGUAAAGAGCUCGUAGGCGGUUUGUCGCGUCUGCUGUGAAAUCCCGAGGCUCAACCUCGGGCCUGCAGUGGGUACGGGCAGACUAGAGUGCGGUAGGGGAGAUUGGAAUUCCUGGUGUAGCGGUGGAAUGCGCAGAUAUCAGGAGGAACACCGAUGGCGAAGGCAGAUCUCUGGGCCGUAACUGACGCUGAGGAGCGAAAGGGUGGGGAGCAAACAGGCUUAGAUACCCUGGUAGUCCACCCCGUAAACGUUGGGAACUAGUUGUGGGGUCCAUUCCACGGAUUCCGUGACGCAGCUAACGCAUUAAGUUCCCCGCCUGGGGAGUACGGCCGCAAGGCUAAAACUCAAAGGAAUUGACGGGGACCCGCACAAGCGGCGGAGCAUGCGGAUUAAUUCGAUGCAACGCGAAGAACCUUACCAAGGCUUGACAUAUACGAGAACGGGCCAGAAAUGGUCAACUCUUUGGACACUCGUAAACAGGUGGUGCAUGGUUGUCGUCAGCUCGUGUCGUGAGAUGUUGGGUUAAGUCCCGCAACGAGCGCAACCCUCGUUCUAUGUUGCCAGCACGUAAUGGUGGGAACUCAUGGGAUACUGCCGGGGUCAACUCGGAGGAAGGUGGGGAUGACGUCAAAUCAUCAUGCCCCUUAUGUCUUGGGCUUCACGCAUGCUACAAUGGCCGGUACAAAGGGCUGCAAUACCGUGAGGUGGAGCGAAUCCCAAAAAGCCGGUCCCAGUUCGGAUUGAGGU